GUAUACAUAAAAAUCAUGAAUCUGUGUCUCCGGGACCCAUCAGUGAAAUUCCUGGAGCACUGGCCUAAGCAUCUGAACCCAAGAUCCCUGUUCAGAGGGUAGAGGAUGGGAACAUUGUGUUGUUGGUUUGUUUCAUUCUCUAGAGGAUUUGCUUCCAAGCAGCAGUGAAUGGAUCACUGUGAGAACACAAUGAUAUUUUCAUCUAUGACUAAACUAUUCUAUUCUGUUCCUGCUCCUUUUAGGGAGAGGAAAAUUGUUCCUGGUUAUUUUGGUCUAAAGUUUUUCAAAACUUCCAUUACAAAUCAUAAAGCAAGUUUGACUUCUGGGAAAUUACACUUCAGUUAAUAAUUUUAAAUGUAUUUGUAUGGUGAAGUAUAACUUUAUAAAUGUUAUCU
Molecule: long non-coding RNA, 395 nt
Filed under: Homo sapiens (human)
Lineage: Eukaryota; Metazoa; Chordata; Mammalia; Primates; Hominidae
Description: HSALNT0320778
Source: RNAcentral